UGUGGGGCUCGGGUGGAGUUAAUUAGCGUUUAAAUAAGUACUGGGAAUUUUUAGAAGAAAAGAACUCUAAUUCAAGCUGUAGCAGUAAUAAUCCAAAAGAGUGCGGCUGCUGGUUGCUGUCAUGAACGACCACGAGGACGAGCAACGACAAUGGUGGUCGCCGAUGUGUAAGAAGAGAUGGACAUGGAGGAAAAGAACUUUUGCGCCACGCGUCUUGCUCUCCACCAUGCCACCGUCCUCUCCAAUAACCAUCCUCCUCCAUUUACACAUACUGCAGGGGUUUGUGGACGGCGAAUAAAUGGAGAUGGAACAAACCGGGGGGUGGUGGGUGAAAGAAGCUGCGAAUGAAAAUGGAGAGCGAAGCUUGGUAUCCGAGUACGCUCGGGCGAGGAUGAGUUACCGCCUCGCAGAUUCCGCCAACGCCACACCCGGCCCUGGAAAACCGGCGGAUGUACCGCAUUACGCAAACGUAUCACGCUAUGUGGUCCAACGAAAACAAACAGAGCUUCAGGAGUUUCACUCUCCCUCUUUAUCCUCAUUCUCUUCUUCUUCUUCCUCCUCAUUUUACUCCUUUUCCCUUGCAUAAAGACCGUGCAUAAAUAAAUGUACAUUAUGUGAAUUAGCCCCCUUAUACUUGAUAAUUUUGACUUUAUUCUUUUUAGAAAAAAAAAUCAUACAUCAUGUUUUUAAACUUUA
Long non-coding RNA from Microplitis demolitor, 696 nucleotides. RefSeq lists it as uncharacterized. The transcript is spliced from 3 exons. The record is from RefSeq and is a predicted model, not a curated record. Lineage: Eukaryota; Metazoa; Arthropoda; Insecta; Hymenoptera; Braconidae.